AGCUUUGCGCACUGGCAGUAUCGUAGCCAAUGAGUUUAUCCGAGGUGCGAUUAUUGCUAAUUGAAAAAACGAAGGAACUGACAUUCACGUAAAUUUUAAGAAACUAAAUGCAACGUAAGAUGAAGACAACUGUAGACAGA
This is a small nuclear RNA of Ursus americanus (American black bear), 140 nucleotides long. Its record names the gene U4. It matches the Rfam family "U4 spliceosomal RNA". Rfam says of the family: U4 small nuclear RNA (U4 snRNA) is a component of the major U2-dependent spliceosome. The structure of U4 snRNA from yeast and human has been reported. Lineage: Eukaryota; Metazoa; Chordata; Mammalia; Carnivora; Ursidae. The record is from Ensembl.